Molecule: long non-coding RNA, 2789 nt
Organism: Cotesia glomerata
Lineage: Eukaryota; Metazoa; Arthropoda; Insecta; Hymenoptera; Braconidae
Exons: 6
Source: RefSeq, a predicted model, not a curated record
UAAAUUUGGCGAGCUAUUAAGGGCGCCACUGGGUACAGCCGCCAAGUUUCUUUGAUGCACGCUUCCAGCCAUGCUAAUUUAUUUAAAUUGUCCAUCGUUAAUUCAUUGUCGCCAAUAAUUGCUUCGAACUCAUCGAUUAUUUUUUGCUGCAGCAUAAAAUUCUUACCGCAAACUAUAUCCAACGCAGCACGUUUAGCAUAAGGUACAACAUCAAACACAUUGUUAGCUUCAGCUUUUAGAGAAGAAAUCAGAGUUGUCGUUUCACGUACAACCGAUUUCAAAUACUGUUGCUGUAAUUCGUUAUGAAAUGUGGGUGACAAUUAGUCUCCGGCUGAUUGAAAAAAAUAUAAGCGAUCGGAUGAGAUCUGAAACAAGCCUCCUGUCUACUGGUUUCAAUUCAGGCAUUGACUACUACACGCCCGGUCUAAAUAAAAAAAAAUAUAAUAAUUUCAAGAUCACAAAAACUCGAUUUUUCUAGAUUCGAGCAAGCGAGACCUGAUUUUUUUUUCUUCGUUGUAACAGUAAUAUAAUGAGGGUCAAAUCGACAAUUUCGCCAGGUCAUCAAUAUGAUUAUUGAUAAUUUUGGUAACUAAAAAAAUGUUUUAAUAAUAAUAAUUGAGGUAGCCAAAAAGAAAGGUAGCUAUUAUCAGAAUGUUCAUUUGAAAAAUUGAUAUACCAGCAUUGAAAAUGCCGGUCAUUAACGUCUGGACACCUGGUUAACUUCCCUCUUUCUCUGCUUAAAAAUCUUUCGCCCAAGGCUACGCAAAAUAGUUGUCGCGAUUAUCUGAAUGUACACUUUUGAGGUAGACGAGUCAAAAAGAUCCUGAUGGACAAAAAAUUCUAGCAAGCCCGCCGAAAAAUAACCAGUAAAUUAAUAUAUUUGAAGGACACUUGACUUGUUGAACUUCAACGGCAGUCCGAUUGAUAAAUAAGAAUAAAUAAAUAAAUAAAUAAAAUUUAUGCAUAAAUAUACAAAAAUUUAAACAAAUUAUGUUUUUAAAUUUCCUGCUCGGCAACCAAUGAUUAAUAGCAAUAAUUCAUAUCAUAGUUUUUUUAUAUAUCAAUUAUCAACAACUACUGUAGACGAAUGUUUUUUUUGCGAUAAGUAAUCAGUAAUCAUUUAUUUAUAAAUAUGCAAAUCAAUUUGUCAUAAAUCAGAAGAAAAUUCAGUACUAGCUUAAGCAAAAUGAAUUUUCUUUAAAUAACUUGUAGAUCAGAUCGUUUGAGAUAAAGUUAACAAUAAUAACAUCAACAGCAAUAAAAAAAAAUAAGUAUGAAGAAAAGAAGUUGAAGAAAAAAGAAGCUCAAGGUAAUGGAGUAUGACAAUAAAAUAUAAACUUACCAGUACUCGUGACAAGGCCAUAACCAAGCCAGGGUUUCAGAUAAGAAUACUCCAAACUCUUGUCAAUGUGAAUACUGCUACUCAAUAAUGGCUGGACAUCUUCAACCCGGUAAACAAAAACAAAAGGUCUGGGUCCAACCCACAGUAAAUAGAUGUCACCAAAUUGUUUACCCCACUCGAGGAGUUUCCGAAAAAACUCUAUUGAAGAAAUUAAGGUCUUAAUAAUUAAGGGAAUUGAGGCUUAUGGAUAUUGAUAAGAUGAAAGUGACAUUUAAAAAACUAAGGGUAAAGAAGAAAUGCUAUAAAUAUAUAUUAAUGCCGCGUGAUGAUGGGAACAUAAGAAUGCAUUCUCGCUGCAUAGGUCGUUGGCUUAGAAUGCCUCGUGCAAGAAUCCAAGGCAUCAAGUAGGCCUUCAAUAAUAAUAAUAAUAAUAAUAAUAAUAAUAAUAACAUCAUCAAGAACAACCUAUCUCUAUCACUUGCAGCAAUUAGGUGGUAUAAGUUACUUGUCUUCCUCCUCGGCCUCGUCGACGGUCGUCAACGCUGUGACGAUGACCGACAGUAGCAUCACCACCAGUUACAGCAGCAGCUUAGCUAUAUGUAUGCUGCACGUGCCAUUAUUCACUUGCAUUCAACAAUAGAGAAAGAGAUGACAAUAAUGCAAGUGGAAAAAGGACAGACAGAAUGCGGCCAUUGACCGGAAAAAAUCUUGGGCAUUUUUGCAGUAGAACUAGCUGCAUCCAAGAAACGAGGACACAGAAAUUGAAAGUAAAAGUCGGGAGUUGCAUAGAAGAUAUCAAUGGAGACUCAGAAUGAGAAGAAAAGAAAAUAAAGGAAAUACUUUGUAAGAAGUGUGUCUCCUCCCUUACACCGAUGGUACAAUAUUUGCCGAUGGAAAAAAGAAGAUUCGCAUUUAUGAUUACUCAGUAAUGCAUACCAACCGACCUCGACCUGAUUCUUCAUCUUAUUCUCAUUCUUUCUAUUAUUCUUUUCUUCUUCAUGUCAUUUUAUUUUUUAUUGUCUCUUUUCUCUUUCUCUUCCUCUUUCAUUUUUAUUUGUAUUAUCAUUCAUUGACUCUCAUACGCCUUUCUUCCUUUGCCAGUCAAUUAUUACCCGUACACGUGUCUCCGCCAGAUGACGAUCAUGUUGCUACUGACGAUAAUGAUGAUCAUGAUAGUGAUGAUGAAAAAGAAGAAGAAGAAGAAAUAAAGUCGAUUGACCCUUAAGGCAUGUAAUAUGAGAAUAAUAUUGGACGGACGGAAAUUUCAUUGCAUCACUCCUUUGUACUGGGUGCUUUUACUCGGUGAAUUGGGGCUCAUCUCGUUGCAGUACUUACCACGGGCUACAAUUCAGCUGUACGGCGUUUCCAAUUAAUGGCAGGGCCACUGGUGACGGCACAUUUCUCAAUGAAUAAAGAAAUUUAGUUCUUUUUAUAAAUAACGACAAAA